This 80-nucleotide ribosomal RNA is filed under the name Triticum aestivum (bread wheat). RNAcentral describes it as "rRNA LSU_rRNA_eukarya". It matches the Rfam family "Bacterial large subunit ribosomal RNA", at positions 184 to 263 of the family's 2925-position model. Lineage: Eukaryota; Viridiplantae; Streptophyta; Magnoliopsida; Poales; Poaceae. The record is from RNAcentral.
CCUGGCAAACUGAAACAUCUUAGUAGCCAAAGGAAAAGAAAGCAAAAGCGAUUCCCGUAGUAGUGGCGAGCGAAACGGGA